RNAcentral lists this ribosomal RNA (500 nucleotides) under uncultured bacterium. RNAcentral's name for it is "partial 16S ribosomal RNA". It matches the Rfam family "Bacterial small subunit ribosomal RNA", at positions 28 to 507 of the family's 1533-position model. The record is from RNAcentral.
GACGAACGCUGGCGGCGUGCUUAACACAUGCAAGUCGAACGGGUCUGCCCUGUUUUUUGCGGGGUGGGUCAGUGGCGAACGGGUGAGUAACACGUGAGUAACCUGCCCCUCACUUCUGGAUAACCGCUUGAAAGGGUGGCUAAUACGGGGUGUUCUGGCUGUGCCACAUGGUGUGGCUGGGAAAGAUUCACUUUUGUGGUGUUUUGGUGGGGGAUGGGCUCGCGGCCUAUCAGCUUGUUGGUGGGGUGAUGGCCUGCCAAGGCUUUGACGGGUAGCCGGCCUGGGAGGGUGGGCGGUCACACUGGGACUGAGAUACGGCCCAGACUCCUGCGGGAGGCAGCAGUGGGGGGUAUUGCACAAUGGGCGGAAGCCUGAUGCAGCGACGUCGCGUGAGGGAUGGAGGCCUUCGGGUUGUGAACCUCUUUCGCCGGUGAAGAAGGUCCUGCUCUUUGUGGUGGGGUUGACGGUAGCCGGGUUAUGAAGCGCCGGCUAACUACGUG